UUAGUGGUAGCUCAGUGGUUAAGAUGUUGGACUUCCGCUCGGAAGGUUGAGAGUUCGAAUCCCAGCACCACCAAG
This is a non-coding RNA of Pangasianodon gigas (Mekong giant catfish), 75 nucleotides long. The record is from the annotation of a GenBank genome assembly. NCBI's taxonomy places the organism in Eukaryota, Metazoa, Chordata, Actinopteri, Siluriformes, Pangasiidae.